RNAcentral lists this ribosomal RNA (275 nucleotides) under uncultured bacterium. RNAcentral describes it as "partial 16S ribosomal RNA". It matches the Rfam family "Bacterial small subunit ribosomal RNA", at positions 81 to 354 of the family's 1533-position model. The record is from RNAcentral.
CGUCCCGCCGGCGACCGGCGCACGGGUGAGUAACACGUAUGCAACCUGGCCGCCACAGGGGGAUAACCCGCGGAAACGCGGCCUAAUACCCCGUGACGCCACCGGAGGGCAUCCUCCGGUGGCCAAAGGAGCGAUCCGGUGGCGGAUGGGCAUGCGGCGCAUUAGCUAGACGGCGGGGUGACGGCCCACCGUGGCGACGAUGCGUAGGGGUUCUGAGAGGAAGGCCCCCCACACUGGGACUGAGACACGGCCCAGACCCCUACGGGAGGCAGCAG